CAGGUGCGUAGCUCAACCGGCAGAGUGCGGGGUCGUGACUCCCGGAGGCGGUGGUUCGACUCCACCCCACCUGA
RNAcentral lists this transfer RNA (74 nucleotides) under Gemmatimonadota bacterium. RNAcentral describes it as "Gemmatimonadetes bacterium (activated sludge metagenome) tRNA-His". It matches the Rfam family "tRNA". Rfam says of the family: Transfer RNA (tRNA) molecules are approximately 80 nucleotides in length. Their secondary structure includes four short double-helical elements and three loops (D, anti-codon, and T loops). The record is from RNAcentral. Lineage: Bacteria; Pseudomonadati; Gemmatimonadota.